Molecule: ribosomal RNA, 290 nt
Filed under: Escherichia coli
Lineage: Bacteria; Pseudomonadati; Pseudomonadota; Gammaproteobacteria; Enterobacterales; Enterobacteriaceae
Description: partial 23S ribosomal RNA
Rfam family: Bacterial large subunit ribosomal RNA
Source: RNAcentral
GUUAUAGGGUCAAGUGACUAAGUGCAUGUGGUGGAUGCCUUGGCGAUUACAGGCGACGAAGGACGUGAUAGCCUGCGAUAAGCUUCGGGGAGCUGGCAAAUUAGCUUUGAUCCGGAGAUUUCCGAAUGGGGAAACCCACCGAAAGGUAUCGUAUUCUGAAUACAUAGGGAUACGAGGCGAACCGGGUGAACUGAAACAUCUCAGUAGCUCGAGGAAAAGACAUCAACCGAGAUUCCGAAAGUAGUGGCGAGCGAAAUCGGAGUAGCCCUCGCGUUUUAGCAGUUUGUAUA